GCCUGUCGUCCGCGCUUGGUAUUAACUUUCAACAACAGCCAGCAGAGUGUGCUCUGAACGCUGUGAAAAGGACGUCCUGCUACUGACUGGGAGGGAUCAAUCUGACGGCGCAGUCACAGCACAAUAUUCUCCCCAGCUCUGCUUCCGACCAGAAUGAACCAAGUACAGUGCUUCUGACUUUCAUGGUCAUGAGAAGGACGUUGGGCUGAACAGGUUCUUCAUCCAAGGCAGUACACCCCCUUCCUCUGUAUUCACGGAGAAUCACGCUGUAACUGCU
This is a long non-coding RNA of Haliaeetus leucocephalus (bald eagle), 277 nucleotides long. RefSeq lists it as uncharacterized. The transcript is spliced from 3 exons. The record is from RefSeq and is a predicted model, not a curated record. NCBI's taxonomy places the organism in Eukaryota, Metazoa, Chordata, Aves, Accipitriformes, Accipitridae.